UACGGAGGGUGCAAGCGUUACUCGGAAUCACUGGGCGUAAAGGACGCGUAGGCGGGUUGUCAAGUCAGGUGUGAAAUCCUACAGCUUAACUGUAGAACUGCACUUGAAACUGGCAGCCUAGAGUAUGGAGGGGAGAUGGAAUUAGUGGUGUAGGGGGUAAAAUCCGUAGAUAUCACUAGGAAUACCUAAAGCGAAGGCGAUCUCCUGGAACAUUACUGACGCUAAGGCGUGAAAGCGUGGGGAGCAAACAGG
This 252-nucleotide ribosomal RNA is filed under the name uncultured bacterium. RNAcentral's name for it is "partial 16S ribosomal RNA". It matches the Rfam family "Bacterial small subunit ribosomal RNA", at positions 524 to 776 of the family's 1533-position model. The record is from RNAcentral.